This 199-nucleotide ribosomal RNA is filed under the name uncultured bacterium. RNAcentral's name for it is "partial 16S ribosomal RNA". It matches the Rfam family "Bacterial small subunit ribosomal RNA", at positions 328 to 539 of the family's 1533-position model. The record is from RNAcentral.
ACGCUCGACACCUACGGGAGACAGCAGUCGGGAAUAUUGCGCAAUGGAGGAAACUCUGACGCAGUGACGCCGCGUAUAGGAAGAAGGUUUUCGGAUUGUAAACUAUUGUCGUUAGGGAAGAUACAAGACAGUACCUAAGGAGGAAGCACCGGCUAACUAUGUACCAGCAGCCGCGGUAAUCUGAGCGGGCUGGCAAGGC